This 499-nucleotide ribosomal RNA is filed under the name uncultured bacterium. Its description in RNAcentral is "bacterial SSU rRNA". It matches the Rfam family "Bacterial small subunit ribosomal RNA", at positions 19 to 518 of the family's 1533-position model. The record is from RNAcentral.
CUGGCUCAGGAUGAACGCUGGCGGCGUGCCUAACACAUGCAAGUCGAACGGAGCUACUUGAAGGAGACUUCGGUCAACGGAAGGGUAAGCUUAGUGGCGGACGGGUGAGUAACGCGUGGAGAACCUGCCCUGUACAGGGGGAUAACAGUGAGAAAUCACUGCUAAUACCGCAUAAGCGCACAGUACCGCAUGGUACAGUGUGAAAAACUCCGGUGGUACAGGAUGGCUCUGCGUUGGAUUAGCCAGUUGGCGGGGUAACGGCCCACCAAAGCGACGAUCCAUAGCCGGCCUGAGAGGGUGAACGGCCACAUUGGGACUGAGACACGGCCCAGACUCCUACGGGAGGCGGCAGUGGGGAAUAUUGCACAAUGGGGGAAACCCUGAUGCAAGCGACGCCGCGUGAAGGAAGAAGUAUCUCGGUAUGUAAACUUCUAUCAGCAGGGAAGAUGAUGACGGUACCUGACUAAGAAGCCCCGGCUAACUACGUGCCAGCCGCAGC